AGUGAACGCUGGCGGUAGGCCUAACACAUGCAAGUCGAACGGCAGCACAGUAAGAGCUUGCUCUUACGGGUGGCGAGUGGCGGACGGGUGAGGAAUACAUCGGAAUCUACUUUUUCGUGGGGGAUAACGUAGGGAAACUUACGCUACUACCGCAUACGACCUACGGGUGAAAGCAGGGGAUCUUCGUACCUUGCGCGAUUGAAUGAGCCGAUGUCGGAUUAGCUAGUUGGCGGGGUAAAGGCCCACCAAGGCGACGAUCCGUAGCUGGUCUGAGAGGAUGAGCAGCCACACUGGAACUGAGACACGGUCCAGACUCCUACGGGAGGCAGCAGUGGGGAAUAUUGGACAAUGGGCGCAAGCCUGAUCCAGCCAUACCGCGUGGGUGAAGAAGGCCUUCGGGUUGUAAAGCCCUUUUGUUGGGAAAGAAAAGCAGCAGGUUAAUACCCCGCUGUUCUGACGGUACCCAAAGAAUAAGCACCGGCUAACUUCGUG
This 492-nucleotide ribosomal RNA is filed under the name uncultured bacterium. Its description in RNAcentral is "partial 16S ribosomal RNA". It matches the Rfam family "Bacterial small subunit ribosomal RNA", at positions 29 to 507 of the family's 1533-position model. The record is from RNAcentral.